Molecule: ribosomal RNA, 1382 nt
Filed under: Salmonella enterica subsp. enterica serovar Typhimurium
Lineage: Bacteria; Pseudomonadati; Pseudomonadota; Gammaproteobacteria; Enterobacterales; Enterobacteriaceae
Description: partial 23S ribosomal RNA
Rfam family: Bacterial large subunit ribosomal RNA
Source: RNAcentral
GUGACUGCGUACCUUUUGUAUAAUGGGUCAGCGACUUAUAUUCUGUAGCAAGGUUAACCGUAUAGGGGAGCCGGAGGGAAACCGAGUCUUAACCGGGCGUUAAGUUGCAGGGUAUAGACCCGAAACCCGGUGAUCUAGCCAUGGGCAGGUUGAAGGUUGGGUAACACUAACUGGAGGACCGAACCGACUAAUGUUGAAAAAUUAGCGGAUGACCUGUGGCUGGGGGUGAAAGGCCAAUCAAACCGGGAGAUAGCUGGUUCUCCCCGAAAGCUAUUUAGGUAGCGCCUCGUGAAUUCAUCUCCGGGGGUAGAGCACUGUUUCGGCUAGGGGGCCAUCCCGGCUUACCAACCCGAUGCAAACUGCGAAUACCGGAGAAUGUUAUCACGGGAGACACACGGCGGGUGCUAACGUCCGUCGUGAAGAGGGAAACAACCCAGACCGCCAGCUAAGGUCCCAAAGUCAUGGUUAAGUGGGAAACGAUGUGGGAAGGCCCAGACAGCCAGGAUGUUGGCUUAGAAGCAGCCAUCAUUUAAAGAAAGCGUAAUAGCUCACUGGUCGAGUCGGCCUGCGCGGAAGAUGUAACGGGGCUAAACCAUGCACCGAAGCUGCGGCAGCGAACGUAUCACCCAAGACAACUUUACGGAGUUGACGAUUGACGGAGCGAAGCGACGUCAAAGCGUUCAUUAAAGUCGAGUUGGCUUAGGGAUACGUUCGUUGGGUAGGGGAGCGUUCUGUAAGCCUGUGAAGGUGUGUCGUGAGGCAUGCUGGAGGUAUCAGAAGUGCGAAUGCUGACAUAAGUAACGAUAAAGCGGGUGAAAAGCCCGCUCGCCGGAAGACCAAGGGUUCCUGUCCAACGUUAAUCGGGGCAGGGUGAGUCGACCCCUAAGGCGAGGCCGAAAGGCGUAGUCGAUGGGAAACGGGUUAAUAUUCCCGUACUUGGUGUUACUGCGAAGGGGGGACGGAGAAGGCUAUGUUGGCCGGGCGACGGUUGUCCCGGUUUAAGCGUGUAGGUGUGUGUUCCAGGUAAAUCCGGUUCACUUUAACACUGAGGCGUGACGACGAGGCACUACGGUGCUGAAGCAACAAAUGCCCUGCUUCCAGGAAAAGCCUCUAAGCAUCAGGUAACACGAAAUCGUACCCCAAACCGACACAGGUGGUCAGGUAGAGAAUACCAAGGCGCUUGAGAGAACUCGGGUGAAGGAACUAGGCAAAAUGGUGCCGUAACUUCGGGAGAAGGCACGCUGACACGUAGGUGAAGUGAUUUACUCAUGGAGCUGAAGUCAGUCGAAGAUACCAGCUGGCUGCAACUGUUUAUUAAAAACACAGCACUGUGCAAACACGAAAGUGGACGUAUACGGUGUGACGCCUGCCCGGUGCCGGAA